This 1070-nucleotide long non-coding RNA is filed under the name Carassius auratus (goldfish). RNAcentral's name for it is "lncRNA (ENSCARG00000012490.1)". The record is from RNAcentral. Lineage: Eukaryota; Metazoa; Chordata; Actinopteri; Cypriniformes; Cyprinidae.
GGAUCUGAAUCAACGGAGUCGCGAACAGGCUCCGAAAUGCCGAUCUGAAUUAACCGAGUCGCGAAUAGGCUCCGAAAUGCCGAACUGAAUCAAAACAAUCAACAAUACAUCCUAAAAGAGUUCGAUUUUUUUUUUGGAAAGAAAGAAUACAUUUUACUGACCACAAACUUUUGAACUCUAGUUUUUAUUGUUAGAAAAGAAUUCUAUUUUAAAUAAAUUCUCUUCUUUUUAACUUUCCAUUCAUCAAAGAAUCCUGAAAGAAUAUCACAGUUUCAGCAGCACAACUCUGAUAAUAAAUCAUCAUAUUAGAAUGAUUUCUGAAGAUCAUGUGACACUGAAGACUGGAGUAAUGAUGCUGAAAAUCACAGAAAUAAAAUAUAUUUUAAUGUAUAUUUAAAUAGAAACAUUUUGUGUUACUCCAUAAUAAUAUUUCACUUUUUCCCCCUGUACUUUUGAUCAAAUAAAUCAAGUCAAGUCUGCUUUAUUGUCAAUUUCCACAAGUACAGUACAUACAUACAGAUAAUCGAAAUUGCGUUACACUCAGACCCCAGUGCCCACAGAUAAUAUUAAAGCCUAAAAAUCUAGAUCAAAUAUAAAAUGUAGAUACAUACAAUAAGGGAAUGUAAAAAAAGGCAUAUAAUAAAAUUAAAAAUAAAGUUAAAUAAAGCAGCGCAAGGCAAAUGACAGAUUUUUUUCAUCAGAACAUAUCAUUCUGAUCCCAAACUCUGACCGAUGCGCGUGUGUGUGUGUGUGUGUGUGUGUGUGUGUGUGUGUGUGUGUGUGUGUAGCACUUACACACUAAUCCCCACAAUAAUAAAGAUGUUAAACACUCACCUGAAGAAACAAUGUUGCAUCCACCAAUCAGAAGUCUCCAUCUGUCAACUGUGGUGCUAAGUUUACAUUUGUUAGUACACACAAGAGACAGCAGAUGUCAUCAUUUCCACUUCUUAACAAAUCAAUUAAGUACAUACAAAAACUAACUUCAUGAAAGGACCAUACCUGUACCCAACACGGUGACCCAUAAAAGUAAAAUACAAGCAUAGUAUAUAAAUUUCAAACCACCACAGGAC